RNAcentral lists this ribosomal RNA (433 nucleotides) under Mesorhizobium sp. Lc3-2. RNAcentral's name for it is "bacterial LSU rRNA". It matches the Rfam family "Bacterial large subunit ribosomal RNA", at positions 61 to 491 of the family's 2925-position model. The record is from RNAcentral. Lineage: Bacteria; Pseudomonadati; Pseudomonadota; Alphaproteobacteria; Hyphomicrobiales; Phyllobacteriaceae.
AUACGCUGCGAUAAGCUACGGGGAGGUGCGAAUACCCUUUGAUCCGUAGAUUUCCGAAUGGGGAAACCCACCUAAGGUACUUGGAAAAUCAGAGUAGCAGAGUGAUCUGCUACUGUGGUUUCCAAGUAUCGAUAAUAGGUAACUUAUCCUGAAUACAUAGGGAUAAAGUGGCGAACGCGGGGAACUGAAACAUCUAAGUACCCGUAGGAAAGGACAUCAACCGAGACUCCGGAAGUAGUGGCGAGCGAACCCGGACCAGGCCAGUGGCGAUUGAGAGACAAGCGGAACCUUCUGGAAAGUAGGGCCAUAGUGGGUGACAGCCCCGUACGCGUAAUGCGAUCAAUCGUCCUCGAGUAAGGCGGGACACGUGAAAUCCUGUCUGAAAUUGGGAGGACCACCUUCCAAGCCUAAGUACUCGUGCAUGACCGAUAGC